This 72-nucleotide transfer RNA is filed under the name Lentinula aciculospora. It matches the Rfam family "tRNA". Rfam says of the family: Transfer RNA (tRNA) molecules are approximately 80 nucleotides in length. The record is from Rfam by way of RNAcentral. Lineage: Eukaryota; Fungi; Basidiomycota; Agaricomycetes; Agaricales; Omphalotaceae.
UCCGAUGUGGUGUAGUGGUUAACAUUAUCGCCUCUCACGCGAUAGCCCGGGGUUCGAUUCCCCGUGUCGGAA